This is a non-coding RNA of Notechis scutatus (mainland tiger snake), 824 nucleotides long. Lineage: Eukaryota; Metazoa; Chordata; Lepidosauria; Squamata; Elapidae. The record is from RefSeq and is a predicted model, not a curated record.
AUAAGAUCCAAAAUAUUUCUUCUGAAUUAUGUGCAUUUUACUAUACUGUUUGAAUAAACAUACAGAAAAUGCCAAAUUCUACAAGUCUCAUUACUAGUUAAUCAAACGAAGUGCCGUUUUCAAACCCCCAGUGUAUUGUUUGUUACGUUUUUCCAACUUUUCUGAUUCUUGCACCCCAAAUUAGGAGCUAUAUUUGGAUUCCCAUUUUAUGGCAAUAAAGUACAAUACACUUGAUUAACAUCUGAUUUUAAUGUCAGAUGACUUUAUGAUAGCUAGUAACUCUCUUGACUUUAAAAAAAAAAAGAAGACCAUGCAAAACUGUGAACAUGGUGUGCAAUAACUAUCGCGGUUCAUAGACGUGGCAUUUUUCUCUUAGCAAAAAUACAAACCAAAUAGAUAUUCAUUUCAGUGCUUAAUAUCACUUUUAAAAAAUGAUCCCUUACAAUAAAACAAAACAGUUCAGGUAAUAUAGCUGAGCUGAUAGCAGACGUUCGUUCAUAAAGUUUGGUAACCUUUAUUCAAAAAGUAAUAAAAAUCCACAGUUAGGCUAAUCUCCACUGAAGUGAGCAGGUAAGGUCAGAGGUAAGUGUUCACCAAGCUCUGGGCGAGUUGGCUUCACCUGUGAUUUUGAGAACCAAUUUUCCUGUCCCAUUAAGGCCACCAACAUUUUGUCAAAAUGGGGUAGAGGGAACAAAAGAAUUUAACUCUCGGCUUUAUUCACAACUAGCUCACCUGUGUAUGAGAUUUUCUUGUGCAACCUGGUGCAGGCGGAAGAAACAUCCGCACGCAGAAAGACCAUCAACCCGAAGUGGGUCUCAGAUCUC